This 507-nucleotide ribosomal RNA is filed under the name uncultured bacterium. RNAcentral describes it as "bacterial SSU rRNA". It matches the Rfam family "Bacterial small subunit ribosomal RNA", at positions 32 to 516 of the family's 1533-position model. The record is from RNAcentral.
AAUCAACGCUGGCGGCGUGCCUAACACAUGCAAGUUGAGCGCUUGAGGGGGGCAACCCCCAAGAGAGCAGCGAACGGGUGAGUAACGCGUGGGUGAUCUUCCUUCGAGUGGGGAACAACAUCGGGAAACUGGUGCUAAUUCCGCAUAAUAUCCCGGGGCUACGAGCCUCAGGAUCAAAGCCGGGGACCGCAAGGCCUGGCGCUUGAAGAUGAGCCCGCGUCCGAUUAGCUAGUUGGCGGGGUAAUGGCCCACCAAGGCUUCGAUCGGUAGCCGGCCUGAGAGGGCGGACGGCCACACUGGAACUGAGACACGGUCCAGACUCCUACGGGAGGCAGCAGUGGGGAAUUUUUCGCAAUGGGCGCAAGCCUGACGAAGCAACGCCGCGUGGAGGAUGAAGGUCUUCGGAUUGUAAACUCCUGUCGACCGGGACGAAUGCACUCGACCUAAUACGUCGGAAUGUUGACGGUACCGGUGGAGGAAGCCACGGCUAACUCUGUGCCAGCAGCC